This 305-nucleotide ribosomal RNA is filed under the name uncultured bacterium. Its description in RNAcentral is "bacterial SSU rRNA". It matches the Rfam family "Bacterial small subunit ribosomal RNA", at positions 338 to 659 of the family's 1533-position model. The record is from RNAcentral.
CCUACGGGGCGCAGCAGUGGGGGAUAUUGCACAAUGGGGGAAACCCUGAUGCAGCGACGCCGCGUGUGGGAAGACGGUCCUCUGGAUUGUAAACCACUGUCCCCAGGGACGAAGAUGACGGUACCUGGGGAGGAAGCUCCGGCUAACUACGUGCCAGCAGCCGCGGUAAUACGUAGGGAGCAAGCGUUGUCCGGAAUUACUGGGUGUAAAGGGAGCGUAGGCGGUCGGAUAAGUUAGAGGUGAAAUCCCGAGGCUCAACUUCGGAAUUGCCUCUGAUACUGUUCGGCUAGAGAGUAGUUGCGGUA